UACGAAGGGGGCUAGCGUUGUUCGGAAUUACUGGGCGUAAAGCGCGCGCAGGCGGCUAUCCAAGUCAGUGGUGAAAGCCCGGAGCUCAACUCCGGAACUGCCAUUGAAACUGUUUAGCUUGAGGACGAGAGAGGUGAGUGGAAUUCCCAGUGUAGAGGUGAAAUUCGUAGAUAUUGGGAAGAACACCGGUGGCGAAGGCGGCCCACUGGCUCGUUUCUGACGCUCAGGCGCGAUAGCGUGGGGAUCAAACAGG
This 253-nucleotide ribosomal RNA is filed under the name uncultured bacterium. RNAcentral's name for it is "partial 16S ribosomal RNA". It matches the Rfam family "Bacterial small subunit ribosomal RNA", at positions 524 to 776 of the family's 1533-position model. The record is from RNAcentral.